This 253-nucleotide ribosomal RNA is filed under the name uncultured bacterium. Its description in RNAcentral is "partial 16S ribosomal RNA". It matches the Rfam family "Bacterial small subunit ribosomal RNA", at positions 524 to 776 of the family's 1533-position model. The record is from RNAcentral.
UACAGAGGCCUCAAGCGUUAGGCGGAAUCACUGGGCUUAAAGCGUGUGUAGGCGGACUUCUAAGUACCUUGUGAAAUCCCACGGCUUAACUGUGGAACUGCUUGGUAUACUGGUUGUCUUGAGCCACUCAGGGGCGAGCGGAACAAAUGGUGGAGCGGUGAAAUGCGUAGAUAUUGGGAAGAACACCGGUGGCGCAAGCGACUUGCUGGGCCAUUACUGACGCUGAGGAACGAAAGCUAGGGGAGCGAAUGGG